AUUUUACGGAGGCAUACAUUGCACAUAGGUAUGACUGCAAAAAUGGGUGGCUAACUCUGGGAAGAUACUUGUGUUAAACUUUAUACGACAUUUAAUAACUCUUCAUCAUAAGGCAAUGUUUUUUACAAAAAGUUGAAAAAAUCAUGUAAGUCAUUUACUCUGCAAAAAUGGCACAUUAUGUGGGGCUCCAAAAUCCAUAAUGAAACGAUGUGUUUUGCAACUAAGAAACAUUCAUUAUGAUAUAUGGAAAACACUGUCUACUUGUCCUUUGUCAAAAAAUGUGAAACUCUGAGGAUCAUAAAAUUUACUACUAAAAAUAAUCUUCAUGUCUAAGUGAUACUUAUUUAAGACUUUACACUGUUCUGCUUAACCAUAGUCUCCUGUCUGAUUUUAGCGAUAAUUGCAAAGUAUUUCUAACUACAACAAUUUAAUUUUAGACACACCUGUGAGGAAGUUGCAAGCCAACAAAAGAGUUCAAGGAUCUAGAAGACGAUUAAGGGAAGGUCGUUCUCAGUGAAAAUCCAAAAACCAGACAAAAAUGUUUAUACAACCUAAGUCAAUAACCUGACCUUAGAAAAUUGUGAGAGCCAAGCUGACUUCAGGAACUGAAACAUCAGCACAAAGAGCAAUCAUCAAAUAAUUCUGAACACAAAUUUAAUAUUUUUUUUUCUGAAUGAAAAACAUGAGGGAAAUUGUGGAGUUAGCCUCCUAUGGUAAAGGAAUUGAAGAAAAUAUAACACCUUACACGCUUUUUCAUCUUGACAUUAAAAGUUCUGGCUAACUUUGGAAUCCAUUAGAGAAAAAUCCUUGUCACAGAUUCAUUACAAUUCAAAUCAAAGAGUUGUGAACUGUUAUCCCACUGAAAAGACCGAGACUUGUAUGUAUGUUAUGAAUACAUAAAAUGCAUGCAAGCCGUUAUCUCUCCAUGGGAAGCUAAGUUAUAAAAAUAGGUGCUUGGUGUACAAAACUUUUUACAUCAAAAGGCUUUGCACAUUUCUAUAUGAGUGGGUUUACUGGUAAAUUAUGUUAUUUUUUACAACUAAUUUUGUACUCUCAGAAUGUUUGUUAUAUGCUUCUUGCAAUGCAUAUUUUUUAAUCCAAACAUUUCAAUAAAACCAUUUUUCAGGUAUAAAGAGAAUUACUUCAAAU
Molecule: small RNA, 1149 nt
Filed under: Pongo abelii (Sumatran orangutan)
Lineage: Eukaryota; Metazoa; Chordata; Mammalia; Primates; Hominidae
Description: processed transcript
Source: RNAcentral